This 17-nucleotide small RNA is filed under the name Arabidopsis thaliana (thale cress). Its description in RNAcentral is "ATSL279510". The record is from RNAcentral. Lineage: Eukaryota; Viridiplantae; Streptophyta; Magnoliopsida; Brassicales; Brassicaceae.
UUUCCAUAUCCUUCUCU